UGGCAAAUAUUGAAAACGGGAGCAAGUGAGAUCGAGUGUCGGAGGAAGUCCUUAGAGAGCUUAAGGGUUGUCAGGCGGAAGAAAGAAGGAUUAGGAACGAAGGUAUUUCCCGGAUGAAUUUAGGGUAAAUUUGGUCCCGCCAGCGGGGUUACGAGUAGGAGGCCAAGGUUUUCUGGGUAUCAUGGGGGUAAAAGGGGGGUAAGGGGGAAGGUAAAUAGUUUUGGAAAAUUCCUGGGUCAACCGGAAGAAGCCCUUCUAUAAUGCAGUUUUAGAGGCAGGUGAGGGUGCGCGAAUUUCAGGGGUAGCGGGGGAAAGGGCAGAUAUCAAGAGGACACCAGGGGGAGAGGCGGCCUCCUGGACCAUUCCUGACGUCAGACGCGAAAGCUAGGGUAGCAAACGGGAUUAGAGACCCCGGUAGUCCAAGCCGUAAACGAUGUAGACUAGACGUCGGCGGUUUAAAAAC
Molecule: ribosomal RNA, 463 nt
Filed under: uncultured bacterium
Lineage: Bacteria
Description: bacterial SSU rRNA
Rfam family: Bacterial small subunit ribosomal RNA
Source: RNAcentral